AGAGUUCGAUCCUGGCUCAGGAUGAACGCUGGCGGCGCGCCUAACACAUGCAAGUCGAACGGCACCUGCCCUCGGGCAGAAGCGAGUGGCGAACGGCUGAGUAACACGUGGAGAACCUGCCCCCUCCCCCGGGAUAGCCGCCCGAAAGGACGGGUAAUACCGGAUACCCCGGGGUGCCGCAUGGCACCCCGGCUAAAGCCCCGACGGGAGGGGAUGGCUCCGCGGCCCAUCAGGUAGACGGCGGGGUGACGGCCCACCGUGCCGACAACGGGUAGCCGGGUUGAGAGACCGACCGGCCAGAUUGGGACUGAGACACGGCCCAGACUCCUACGGGAGGCAGCAGUGGGGAAUCUUGCGCAAUGGGGGGAACCCUGACGCAGCGACGCCGCGUGCGGGACGGAGGCCUUCGGGUCGUAAACCGCUUUCAGCAGGGAAGAGUCAAGACUGUACCUGCAGAAGAAGCCCCGGCUAACUACGUGCCAGCAGCCGCGGUAAUACGUAGGGGGCGAGCGUUAUCCGGAUUCAUUGGGCGUAAAGCGCGCGUAGGCGGCCCGGCAGGCCGGGGGUCGAAGCGGGGGGCUCAACCCCCCGAAGCCCCCGGAACCUCCGCGGCUUGGGUCCGGUAGGGGAGGGUGGAACACCCGGUGUAGCGGUGGAAUGCGCAGAUAUCGGGUGGAACACCGGUGGCGAAGGCGGCCCUCUGGGCCGAGACCGACGCUGAGGCGCGAAAGCUGGGGGAGCGAACAGGAUUAGAUACCCUGGUAGUCCCAGCCGUAAACGAUGGACGCUAGGUGUGGGGGGACGAUCCCCCCGUGCCGCAGCCAACGCAUUAAGCGUCCCGCCUGGGGAGUACGGCCGCAAGGCUAAAACUCAAAGGAA
Molecule: ribosomal RNA, 879 nt
Filed under: human gut metagenome
Description: bacterial SSU rRNA
Rfam family: Bacterial small subunit ribosomal RNA
Source: RNAcentral